AUACGUAGGGUGCAAGCGUUAAUCGGCAUUACUGGGCGUAAAGCGUGCGCAGGCGGUUUUGUAAGCCAGAGGUGAAAUACCCGGGCUCCACCUGGGAACUGCCUUUGUGACUGCAAGGCAUGAGUGCGGCAGAGGGGGGUGGACUUCCGCGUGUAGCAGGGGAAUGCGUAGAAAUGCGGAGGAACACCGGCGGCGAAGGCAAUCCCCUGGGCCUGUACUGACGCUCAUGCACGAAAGCGUGGGGAGCAAACAGGAUUAGAUACCCUGGUAGUCCACGCCCUAAACGAUGUCAACUGGUUGUUGGGUCUUCAUUGACUCAGUAACGAAGCUAACGCGUGAAGUUGACCGCCUGGGGAGUACGGCCGCAAGGUUGAAACUCAAAUGAAUUGACGGGG
This 395-nucleotide ribosomal RNA is filed under the name uncultured bacterium. RNAcentral describes it as "partial 16S ribosomal RNA". It matches the Rfam family "Bacterial small subunit ribosomal RNA", at positions 523 to 918 of the family's 1533-position model. The record is from RNAcentral.